CAGUAGCGGCGAGCGAAGCGGGAAAAGCCCGGGAUGAAAAUCUCUUCGGAGACUUGUAUUCCGUGUGUCCUUGGGUGGUCAGUGCGGGCAAGUUGUCUGGGAUGACGCGCCAUGGAGGGUGAGAGCCCCGUCCAACCCGCACAGGAUCCAUUCGUACGAGGACACUUCAAACUGAGUCGGGUAGCUUGGGAAUGCUGCUCUAAUUGGUGGUAAAUCUCAUCAAAGGCUAAAUAAAAGUGGGAGACCGAUAGCGAACAAGUACCGUGAGGGAAAGAUGGAAAGUACUUUGAAAAGAGAGUGAAAAGCACUUGAAACCGUCAUGGGGGAAGCGAAUUGCGUUAGUGAUGGAUUGGCCUGUUCAGCUCAAAAUAUUUAUUGAGUGUAUUCUGGCUUUUCCGCGCUUGUGUGGCUGGUGCGAGUACAAGGAGGGUGUGAAUGGGGGAAUUUUUGUUUUUCUGUUCUACAUCAUUUGUCGGUACUUUGCGCUGGUGAGGGCUCCCCGCAAGGGUGAGGACACGAGCGAAAUGACGCAAUACGACCCGUCUUGAAACACGGACCAAGGAGUCUAGCACGGCUGCGAGUCGAAGGGUAAUUUUUUUAUGAAAAACCUAGAGGGCGCAGUGAAAGCAACUAUGUUGGAGCAAUCUAACGACAAAGCAAAUUGGGGAGGCGUUGCGGUUUUACCAACAUGUCCUACCUUGAGCAUCUGUGCUGGGACCCGAAAGAUGGUGAACUAUGCCGGAGUAGGGCAAAGCCAGAGGAAACUCUGGUGGAGGCUCGUAGCGAUGCUGACGUGCAAAUCGCUCGUCGAACUUGGGUAUAGGGGCGAAAGACUAAUCGAACCAUCUAGUAGCUGGUUCCCUCCGAAGUUUCUCUCAGGAUAGCGGGCCGACACAUUUUUUUUUAAAAGUUGUUUUGUGCGGUAAAGCGAAUGAUUAGUGCAUUUGGGGGCCGAAGGCCUUCAGGCGAUUCUCAAACUUUAAAUGCGCAAGGGGGCGGCUGCUUAAUUUGAGCCUGCUCUUCGAAAAACGUCGGCUCCGUGGGCCACUUUUGGUAAGCAGAACUGGCGAUAAGGGAUGAACCUUAAGCGCGGUUAAGGCGCCGCAUUGCCCGCUUAUAGACCCCACAAAAGGUGUUGAUUCAUAUAGACAGCAGGACGGUGGCCAUGGAAGUCGGAAUCCGCUAAGGAGUGUGUAACAACUCACCUGCCGAAUGAAUUAGCCCUGAAAAUGGAUGGCGCUGAAGCGGGCAGCCGACACCGCGCCGUUCAGGCGAGACAACAUGUCUGAAUGAGUAGGAGGGCGUGGCGGUCCGUGACGCAGGCGAGGGUGCAAACCCCGCUGAAACGGCCGCUAGUGCAGAUCUUGGUGGUAGUAGCAAAUAUUCAAGCGAGAUCCUUGAAGGGCGAAGCGGGGAAGGGUUCCAUGCGAACAUUGAUUGGGCGUGGGUGAGUC
RNAcentral lists this ribosomal RNA (1454 nucleotides) under Nemalionopsis shawii. Its description in RNAcentral is "LSU rRNA". It matches the Rfam family "Eukaryotic large subunit ribosomal RNA", at positions 81 to 1540 of the family's 3401-position model. The record is from RNAcentral. Lineage: Eukaryota; Rhodophyta; Florideophyceae; Thoreales; Thoreaceae.